UAGUGGCAUUUUUAUAUGAAAACGCCGCAAAAAAUAUUUUCCUUCAAAGCGUUUAAUCCCCAAAAUUUUCCCCCGUUAAACCUUUAAUUUUUCCGCCGUUGGUGCCUCUGCUAUGUUCCUCUUCCUUGUCCCUGUCUCAACCCAACUCUCUCGACUCCACCCAGUCCGGCUCGGAGGUGCCUCGUUAUGACGAGGAAAGGGUUUUGAUAAGCGAGGUUCUUGUCAGUAACAAAGAUGGAGAGGAGUUGGAGCGGAAAGACCUCGAAAUGGAAGCCCUUACCGCGUUGAAAGCUUGCCCAGCCAACUCUGCUUUGACGGUGCGGGAGGUUCAGGAAGAUGUCCACCGGAUCAUUGAUAGCGGUUACUUCUCUUCCUGUAUGCCUGUGGCCGUUGACACGCGGGAUGGUAUCAGAUUGGUGUUUCAACUGUGCAGGAAAAGUGGUAAAUCUCAAGCGCUUGGAUGAAGUAAUUAAUUCCAUCAAUGGAUGGUAUAUGGAAUGUGGUCUUUUUGGCUUGGUUUCUGGAGUUGAUAUUUUUUCUGGAGGUAUUAUAAGGUUACAAGUUGCAGAAGCUGAGGUCAACAAUAUAUCCAUACGCUUCCUUGAUCGAAAGACUGGUGAACCAACUAAACGGAAGAAGGGACAGGUGUAUAGUAUGCUUCAAGGGAAAAGAGAUGUGGAUACAGUGUCAACUAUGGGUCUUAUGACAGAUGUCAGUAUCAUUCCUCAACCAGCUGGAGAUGCUGGUAAAGUUGAUUUGGUAAUGAAUGUUGUUGAACGUCCGAGUGGUGGUUUUUCUGCUGGUGGUGGAAUAUCAAGCUGGAUUACAAGUGGCCCUUUAUCAGGACUUAUUGGAAGCUUUGCAUAUUCUUAUAGAAAUUUGUUUGGAAGAAACCAAAAGCUUAAUAUUUCCUUAAAGAGGGGCCAAAUCGACUCUAUAUUCCGCAUUAACUAUACAGACCCAUGGAUUGAAGGAGAUGAUAAGAGGACAUCUAGAACAAUAAUUAUCCAGGGAUGCAUGGGACAUGGCUGCUGAAAUUUGCCUUUCUCAGCUUCCAUCGUUGGUUGAGGAUCGUAAUGCAGAGUUCCAAGUAUGAUCAUGGGUGUAGCAACUUCAAUUGAAAAGUACUUGUGCAGGUCUGGAGUAGGUCAAUCAAAAAGUUCUGUUGGAAUUAAACUGACAAGUAAUUGUAGUAUGCUUGUAGUUAAAGUUUCUUCUAGUGAACAUCAUGUUGUUUAUUCGGUAGAAGUUUCAAAGAUUUUACUUUUUAGAAGAAAGUGUAUUGUAGUCAUUAGAUUGGGUUUUCAAAGAUUGAUUAUGAACAUUUUGAUCAAAUGAAAAGUUCUCUUAUUAA
Gossypium arboreum is the source of this 1354-nucleotide RNA transcript. It is a transcript of the gene named outer envelope protein 80, chloroplastic-like, with no coding region annotated. The transcript is spliced from 10 exons. The record is from RefSeq and is a predicted model, not a curated record. Lineage: Eukaryota; Viridiplantae; Streptophyta; Magnoliopsida; Malvales; Malvaceae.